RNAcentral lists this ribosomal RNA (253 nucleotides) under uncultured bacterium. RNAcentral's name for it is "partial 16S ribosomal RNA". It matches the Rfam family "Bacterial small subunit ribosomal RNA", at positions 524 to 776 of the family's 1533-position model. The record is from RNAcentral.
UACGUAGGGCGCGAGCGUUGUCCGGAAUUAUUGGGCGUAAAGAGCUCGUAGGCGGCUUGUCACGUCGGGUGUGAAAGACCGGGGCUUAACUCCGGUUCUGCAUUCGAUACGGGCUAGCUAGAGUGUGGUAGGGGAGAUCGGAAUUCCUGGUGUAGCGGUGAAAUGCGCAGAUAUCAGGAGGAACACCGGUGGCGAAGGCGGAUCUCUGGGCCAGUACUGACGCUGAGGAGCGAAAGCGUGGGUAGCAAACAGG